UAUUUUUCACUUAAAAGGCCAAUUUUGUAAGGACAAUUGCAACAUUUCCAUAUUGUAAGGCAAUGCCUAACAAAAAGGCUGUAUGAGGUUGAAAUGUGUGAUAUCUUAUACCUAACCAGAAAGUAACAGGUUGUUGGGGAUGGAAGGUGGAGUGAGGAAGAUGCUGCUCUUUUAGUGCCUGAGAACUUAACUGGUAUUGAACAGGGAGAUGGCAAGUAGAAGAUGGUGUUUGACUGAGUCAGCAUUUUACCAGAGAUGGUGUUUACUGUGCUUCUGCUUGCAUAAAGGGAGAGAUCACCAAUUAGCCACAUUUGAAAGGGAAGGAUACAGGAAU
Vitis riparia (riverbank grape) is the source of this 334-nucleotide long non-coding RNA. RefSeq lists it as uncharacterized. The transcript is spliced from 4 exons. NCBI's taxonomy places the organism in Eukaryota, Viridiplantae, Streptophyta, Magnoliopsida, Vitales, Vitaceae. The record is from RefSeq and is a predicted model, not a curated record.